This 468-nucleotide ribosomal RNA is filed under the name uncultured bacterium. RNAcentral's name for it is "partial 16S ribosomal RNA". It matches the Rfam family "Bacterial small subunit ribosomal RNA", at positions 28 to 507 of the family's 1533-position model. The record is from RNAcentral.
GACGAACGCUGGCGGCGUGCUUAACACAUGCAAGUCGAACGGAAAGGCCCUGCUUUUGUGGGGUGCUCGAGUGGCGAACGGGUGAGUAACACGUGAGUAACCUGCCCUUGACUUUGGGAUAACUUCAGGAAACUGGGGCUAAUACCGGAUAGGAGCUCCUGCUGCAUGGUGGGGGUUGGAAAGUUUCGGCGGUUGGGGAUGGACUCUCGGCUUAUCAGCUUGUUGGUGGGGCAGUGGCUUACCAAGGCUUUGACGGGUAGCCGGCCUGAGAGGGUGACCGGCCACAUUGGGUCUGAUAUACUGCCCAGACUCCUACGGGAGGCAGCAGUGGGGAAUUUUGCACAAUGGGCGGAAGCCUGAUGCAGCAACGCCGCGUGCGGGAUGACGGCCUUCGGGUUGUACACCUCUUUCGCCUGUGACGAAGCGUGAGUGACGGUAAUGGGUAAAGAAGCACCGGCUAACUACGUG